Molecule: ribosomal RNA, 234 nt
Filed under: uncultured bacterium
Lineage: Bacteria
Description: partial 16S ribosomal RNA
Rfam family: Bacterial small subunit ribosomal RNA
Source: RNAcentral
UACGUAGGGUGCAAGCGUUAUCCGGAAUUAUUGGGCGUAAAGAGCUCGUAGGCGGUUUGUCGCGUCUGCUGUGAAAACUGGAGGCUCAACCUCCAGCCUGCAGUGGGUACGGGCAGACUAGAGUGCGGUAGGGGAGAUUGGAAUUCCUGGUGUAGCGGUGGAAUGCGCAGAUAUCAGGAGGAACACCGAUGGCGAAGGCAGAUCUCUGGGCCGUAACUGACGCUGAGGAGCGAA